GAUGAACGCUGGCGGCGUGCCUAAUACAUGCAAGUCGAACGCAUAGCGAAAGGUGCUUGCACCUUUCAAGUGAGUGGCGAACGGGUGAGUAACACGUGGACAACCUGCCUCAAGGCUGGGGAUAACAUUUGGAAACAGAUGCUAAUACCGAAUAAAACUUCGUGUCGCAUGACACAAAGUUAAAAGGCGCUUCGGCGUCACCUAGAGAUGGAUCCGCGGUGCAUUAGUUAGUUGGUGGGGUAAAGGCCUACCAAGACAAUGAUGCAUAGCCGAGUUGAGAGACUGAUCGGCCACAUUGGGACUGAGACACGGCCCAAACUCCUACGGGAGGCUGCAGUAGGGAAUCUUCCACAAUGGGCGAAAGCCUGAUGGAGCAACGCCGCGUGUGUGAUGAAGGCUUUCGGGUCGUAAAGCACUGUUGUAUGGGAAGAACAGCUAGAAUAGGAAAUGAUUUUAGUUUGACGGUACCAUACCAGAAAGGGACGGCUAAAUACGUG
This 497-nucleotide ribosomal RNA is filed under the name uncultured bacterium. Its description in RNAcentral is "partial 16S ribosomal RNA". It matches the Rfam family "Bacterial small subunit ribosomal RNA", at positions 28 to 507 of the family's 1533-position model. The record is from RNAcentral.